This is a non-coding RNA of Peromyscus maniculatus bairdii (prairie deer mouse), 310 nucleotides long. The record is from RefSeq and is a predicted model, not a curated record. NCBI's taxonomy places the organism in Eukaryota, Metazoa, Chordata, Mammalia, Rodentia, Cricetidae.
CUAUACUUUGUUCCUGGGAAUAAUUACUUGUUUGGUAAAGAUAAGGACAAGGAAGAGUGCAGAAGAGGAAAAUUUCCCUCUAGGAACUCUGCAUCCAAUAUUCACAACCUCAGGGCUCUGAACAAGCUGGUCAAUAUACAACAGAACCAGUCUGAGAAAACAUACUUACCUUUAAAAAAGACAAAAUUUCCAUCACUGUUUUCAUAAACUGCAUCAAUACUGGGAGGCAAGCCCCGCCAGAAGUAAGUAAUUUGCAUGGGGUAUCCAUCCAUCACCCUGUUGUUUCUCACUCGCCAAAACCACUGGUCCU